AGCUUUGCGCAGUGGCAGUAUCAUAGCCAAUGAGGUUUAUCCGAGGCGCAAUUAUUGCUAAUCAAAAACUUAAUGAAUUCCC
Molecule: small nuclear RNA, 82 nt
Filed under: Otolemur garnettii (small-eared galago)
Lineage: Eukaryota; Metazoa; Chordata; Mammalia; Primates; Galagidae
Description: U4 spliceosomal RNA
Rfam family: U4 spliceosomal RNA
About the family: U4 small nuclear RNA (U4 snRNA) is a component of the major U2-dependent spliceosome.
Source: Rfam by way of RNAcentral